UACGGAGGGUGCGAGCGUUGUCCGGAAUCACUGGGCGUAAAGGGCGCGUAGGCGGCAUGCCAAGCGUGUGGUGAAAGCCCGGGGCUCAACCCCGGGUCGGCCGUGCGGACUGGCAUGCUCGAGCACUGUAGGGGCGGGUGGAAUUCCGGGUGUAGCGGUGGAAUGCGUAGAGAUCCGGAAGAACACCAGUGGCGAAGGCGAGUCUCUGGACAUUUCCUGACGCUGAGGCACGAAAGCCAGGGGAGCAAACGGG
RNAcentral lists this ribosomal RNA (253 nucleotides) under uncultured bacterium. RNAcentral describes it as "partial 16S ribosomal RNA". It matches the Rfam family "Bacterial small subunit ribosomal RNA", at positions 524 to 776 of the family's 1533-position model. The record is from RNAcentral.